Molecule: ribosomal RNA, 253 nt
Filed under: uncultured bacterium
Lineage: Bacteria
Description: partial 16S ribosomal RNA
Rfam family: Bacterial small subunit ribosomal RNA
Source: RNAcentral
UACGAAGGGUGCAAACGUUGCUCGGAAUUAUUGGGCGUAAAGCGCACGUAGGCGGCUAUCUAAGUCGGAUGUGAAAUCCCUCGGCUUAACCAAGGAAGUGCACCCGAAACUGGAUAGCUUGAGUACAGAAGAGGAUCGCGGAAUUCCCGGUGUAGAGGUGAAAUUCGUAGAUAUCGGGAGGAACACCAGUGGCGAAGGCGGCGAUCUGGGCUGAUACUGACGCUGAGGUGCGAAAGCUAGGGGAGCGAACGGG